AUUUGGUGGGCCUUGGGGCACCUGUAGGUGGCCAGGGGCAGAUACAGGGGGUCCUGGGGCAGAUUAAGGUGGUUAGGAGGAGAUUUGAGGGGCCCUGGGGCAGAUUUGAGAGGUUCUGGGCCAGAUUUGAGGGCCCUGAAGCAGAUUUGAGGAGCUCUGAGGCAGAUUUGGGAGGUCCUGAGGUAAAUUUAAGGGAUUAAGCACAGAUUUGGUGGGCCUUGGGGCACCUGUAGGUGGCCAGGGGCAGAUACAGAGGGUCCUGGGGCAGAUUUAGGUGGUUAGGAGGAGAUUUGGUGGGUCCUGGGGCAGAUUUGAGAGGUUCUGGGCCAGAUUUGAGGGCCCUGAAGCAGAUUUGAGGAGCUCUGAGGCAGAUUUGAGAGGUCCUGAGGUAACUUUAGGGGAUUAAGCACAGAUUUGGUGGGCCUUGGGGCACUUGUAGGUGGCUGGGGUGGAUUUUCUUGGUUGGGGGUAGAUUUGGGGGGGUCCUGGGGCAGAUUUGCUUGGUUAGGGGUAGACUGGGGGGGGUCCUGGGGAGGAUUGGAGGAGCCGUGGGGCCGAUUGGUGACAUCCCAGGGCAGAUUUGGGUGCUAUGGGGCAGAUUUGGGUGCUAUGGGGCAGAUCUGGGAGGUCUUGGGGCAGUUUGAGGGGCAGAGCGGGGGGCUCUGGGAGCGAUGUCGGGGUCCUGGGGCUCGACUCCACCUUCCCCGGGGAAAUUGGGGCACAACCUGACCUCUUGGCCCCGAUUUCUUCGUGGUUUUGGGGCGGCCGCAGGAGGAACCGAGAACUGAACUUUCUGGCGUCUCUGGGGUCCCUGAUCCUUCAGGAUGAAGAUGAUGAUGAUGAUGAAGGUGGAGUUUUUCCUCCUCGUGGCAGGGGCCGUGGCAGCUCCCGGUCUCUCGCCGCCGCCGCCGCCGCUGGGGCUCCUCUUCCAGGAGGAGGGGGGUCCCCCAAAAAUCAGCUGCAUCGCCCCCCUCAGCUACGCCGGCAGCACCUUCGAGCUCUUCCCGGUGGGCUCCGACCUCCCCACGCAGAGGAUUUCGGCCCAACCGGGUCAACACCGGGGGGAAUUCACCCUGGAUGAAACCCCUCCGUCCUCCCGGUGUUACCGGUGCCGGUACCGGAGCUUUAACGGCAGCGCCUGGGAGGUGUCGGGGUUCAGCAUGGAGAUGGUGCUGGACGGUACGGCCACCGGUGGGGGUGGGGUGGGGG
RNAcentral lists this long non-coding RNA (1209 nucleotides) under Calidris pugnax (ruff). RNAcentral's name for it is "lncRNA (ENSCPUG00000015767.1)". Lineage: Eukaryota; Metazoa; Chordata; Aves; Charadriiformes; Scolopacidae. The record is from RNAcentral.